ACGCUGGCGGCAUGCUUUACACAUGCAAGUCGGACGGCAGCACAGAGAAGCUUGCUUCUUGGGUGGCGAGUGGCGAACGGGUGAGUAAUAUAUCGGAACGUACCGAGUAAUGGGGGAUAACUAAUCGAAAGAUUAGCUAAUACCGCAUAUUCUCUGAGGAGGAAAGCAGGGGACCUUCGGGCCUUGCGUUAUUCGAGCGGCCGAUAUCUGAUUAGCUAGUUGGUGGGGUAAAGGCCUACCAAGGCGACGAUCAGUAGCGGGUCUGAGAGGAUGAUCCGCCACACUGGGACUGAGACACGGCCCAGACUCCUACGGGAGGCAGCAGUGGGGAAUUUUGGACAAUGGGCGCAAGCCUGAUCCAGCCAUGCCGCGUGUCUGAAGAAGGCCUUCGGGUUGUAAAGGACUUUUGUCAGGGAAGAAAAGGCUGUUGCUAAUACCGACAGCUGAUGACGGUACCUGAAGAAUAAGCACCGGCUAACUACGUGCCAGCAGCCGCGGUAAUACGUAGGGUGCGAGCGUUAAUCGGAAUUACUGGGCGUAAAGCGAGCGCAGACGGUUACUUAAGCAGGAUGUGAAAUCCCGGGCUCAACCUGGGAACUGCGUUCUGAACUGGGUGACUAGAGUGUGUCAGAGGGAGGUAGAAUUCCACGUGUAGCAGUGAAAUGCGUAGAGAUGUGGAGGAAUACCGAUGGCGAAGGCAGCCUCCUGGGAUAACACUGACGUUCAUGCUCGAAAGCGUGGGUAGCAAACAGGAUUAGAUACCCUGGUAGUCCACGCCCUAAACGAUGUCAAUUAGCUGUUGGGCAACUUGAUUGCUUAGUAGCGUAGCUAACGCGUGAAAUUGACCGCCUGGGGAGUACGGUCGCAAGAUUAAAACUCAAACGAAUUGACGGGGACCCGCACAAGCGGUGGAUGAUG
Molecule: ribosomal RNA, 918 nt
Filed under: uncultured bacterium
Lineage: Bacteria
Description: bacterial SSU rRNA
Rfam family: Bacterial small subunit ribosomal RNA
Source: RNAcentral